Drosophila bipectinata is the source of this 289-nucleotide long non-coding RNA. RefSeq lists it as uncharacterized. The record is from RefSeq and is a predicted model, not a curated record. NCBI's taxonomy places the organism in Eukaryota, Metazoa, Arthropoda, Insecta, Diptera, Drosophilidae.
UUUCAAUAUUUACAGGAAAUCUUUUUUCCCCUCAAGGGGGGCAUGUAUACCUAUUUGAAAGACCUCGUUCUUUGCCUUCAACAGGCUAUUCUUGGUUUUAUCAGGAUCUCCAAAAGAAGGAUGAUCAUCGCGCAAACACUCUCAGAAAGGGUUCUCAGAAGACCACAAUGUUCCUUCCAAAAUGUGCGUGGUAGUUGCAUUUAGAAAAAUACACACACACACACACUCAAUGUUAAUGUAUCUGUAUAGUUGAAUUAUUAGAAAUAUAAAUAAAUGAGAUGAAAUAUAA